Molecule: small nuclear RNA, 166 nt
Filed under: Ursus americanus (American black bear)
Lineage: Eukaryota; Metazoa; Chordata; Mammalia; Carnivora; Ursidae
Description: U1 spliceosomal RNA (ENSUAMG00000016518.1)
Rfam family: U1 spliceosomal RNA
About the family: U1 is a small nuclear RNA (snRNA) component of the spliceosome (involved in pre-mRNA splicing). Its 5' end forms complementary base pairs with the 5' splice junction, thus defining the 5' donor site of an intron.
Source: Rfam by way of RNAcentral
AUACUUACCUGGCAGGGGAGACACGAUGGUCAGGCAGGUGGUUUUCUCGGGUUGAGGGCUUGUCCAUUGCACUGCAGAUGUGCUGACCCCUGCGAUUUCCCAAAAGCGGGUAACUCGACUGCAUAUAAUUUUGUGGUCGUGGGGACUGUGUUUGCGCUCUCCCCUG